This 497-nucleotide ribosomal RNA is filed under the name uncultured bacterium. Its description in RNAcentral is "partial 16S ribosomal RNA". It matches the Rfam family "Bacterial small subunit ribosomal RNA", at positions 28 to 507 of the family's 1533-position model. The record is from RNAcentral.
GAUGAACGCUGGCGGCGUGCCUAAUACAUGCAAGUCGAGCGAACGGACGAGAAGCUUGUUUCUCUGAUGUUAGCGGCGCACGGGUGAGUAACACGUGGAUAACCCACCUAUAAGACUGGGAUAACUUCGGGAAACCGGAGCUUAUACCGGAUAAUAUUUUGAACCACAUGGUUCAAAAGUGAAAGACGGUCUUGCUGUCACUAAUAGAUGGUUCCGAGCUGCAUUAGCUAGUUGUUAAGGUAACGGCUUUCCAAGGCAACGAUGCCUAGCCGACCGGAUAGGGGGAUAGCCCGCCUUGGAGCUGUGACAGGGUCCAUGGUCCUGCGGGAGGCAGCAGUAGGGAAUGUUCCGCAAUGGUCGAGAGCCUGACGGAGCAGCGCCGCGUGAGUGAUGAAGGUCUUCGGAGCGUAAAGCUCUGUUAUUAGUGAAGAACAUAUUUGGAAGUAACUGUGCACAUCUUGACGGUACCUAAUCAGAAAGCCACGGCUAACUACGUG